Molecule: small nuclear RNA, 164 nt
Organism: Sinocyclocheilus grahami
Lineage: Eukaryota; Metazoa; Chordata; Actinopteri; Cypriniformes; Cyprinidae
Gene: U1
Rfam family: U1 spliceosomal RNA
About the family: U1 is a small nuclear RNA (snRNA) component of the spliceosome (involved in pre-mRNA splicing). Its 5' end forms complementary base pairs with the 5' splice junction, thus defining the 5' donor site of an intron.
Source: Ensembl
AUGCUUACCUGGCAGGGGAGACACCAUGAUCAAGAAGGAGGUUCACCCAGGGUGAGGCUCAGCCAUUGCACUCCGGUUGUGCUGACCCCUGCAAAUUCUCCAAAUGUGGGAAUCUUGACUGCAUAAUUUAUGGUAGUGGGGGACUGCGUUCGCGCUCUCCCCUG